This 256-nucleotide ribosomal RNA is filed under the name uncultured bacterium. Its description in RNAcentral is "partial 16S ribosomal RNA". It matches the Rfam family "Bacterial small subunit ribosomal RNA", at positions 521 to 776 of the family's 1533-position model. The record is from RNAcentral.
UAAUACGGAGGGUGCAAGCAUUGAUCGGAAUUACUGGGCGUAAAGGGCGCGUAGGCGGUCCGAAAAGUCAGAUGUGAAAUUCCGGGGCUCAACCCCGGAGCUGCAUUUGAAACUUUUAGACUAGAGUAUAGUAAGGGUAAACGGAAUUCCACGUGUAGCGGUGAAAUGCGUAGAUAUGUGGAAGAACACCAGUGGUGAAGACGGUUUACUGUGCUAUAACUGACGCUGAGGCGCGAAAGCUAGGGGAGCAAACAGG